CGAACCCUACGGGGCGCAGCAGUGAGGAAUAUUGAUCAAUGGUCGGGAGACUGAACCAGCCAAGCCGCGUGAGGGAUGAAGGUACAGAGUAUCGUAAACCUCUUUUGUCAGGGAACAAAGGCGGGGACGCGUCCCCGGAUGAGUGUACCUGAAGAAAAAGCAUCGGCUAACUCCGUGCCAGCAGCCGCGGUAAUACGGAGGAUGCGAGCGUUAUCCGGAUUUAUUGGGCUUAAAGGGUGCGCAGGCGGUCUGUUAAGUCAGCGGUCAAAGCCCGGGGCGCAACCCCGGCCCCGCGU
RNAcentral lists this ribosomal RNA (296 nucleotides) under uncultured bacterium. RNAcentral describes it as "partial 16S ribosomal RNA". It matches the Rfam family "Bacterial small subunit ribosomal RNA", at positions 333 to 626 of the family's 1533-position model. The record is from RNAcentral.